AUACGCGCAUAAUAGCUACCGGGCGAGGACCGGCUAAUUAUCGGAAUGCCCCACAGCCGUACGUACCUGCGGCCGGACUCUUGCGUUUAAUUCACGCAUUCAGAUAUUCUAAAAAUAUACAGUUUUUGCUGUUACAGAUGGCGCCCCGUCCGGACUUAGCUGGAAUAGCCUCUUAGGUUACAAGCGAAGAGGAUAGAGGACGAAAGGACUAAAUAGAUAGAUACGGCAACAAUUAGGCUUCAUAUUAAGGAUUAGUAUUAGUUGCUACAAAUGGACACCAAUAUUCAUUUCCUAGACAAAUAUAAAUGCUUGUAAGUUCAGUAGUUCAUGUCUCGUAAAUUCAUACUCGAAGAGAAGGUACAUAAGGAAAACUUCCGUCGUACAAGUACGUUGACCUAUCCUAUUUUUUGUGAUACAUUGCAUGCUGUACAAAAUAAAUCCAAAUAGUACUAUAUUGUUACGCGCUGGGAUUCGGGAUAGAUACAAAAAUCUACCGAAGUACAA
Molecule: long non-coding RNA, 504 nt
Organism: Bombyx mori (domestic silkworm)
Lineage: Eukaryota; Metazoa; Arthropoda; Insecta; Lepidoptera; Bombycidae
Exons: 2
Source: RefSeq, a predicted model, not a curated record